RNAcentral lists this small RNA (89 nucleotides) under Salmonella enterica. RNAcentral describes it as "partial RtT sRNA". It matches the Rfam family "RtT RNA", at positions 1 to 88 of the family's 130-position model. From Rfam's summary of the family: This family represents a bacterial cis-regulatory element known as RtT RNA. The exact function of RtT is unknown although it is thought that it may be involved in changing the cellular response in relation to amino acid starvation. RNAcentral also lists the same sequence under 2 other names. Lineage: Bacteria; Pseudomonadati; Pseudomonadota; Gammaproteobacteria; Enterobacterales; Enterobacteriaceae. The record is from RNAcentral.
AUAUCUCUCUGUACGGGAAGGAUGAGAAGCUUCGACCAAGGUUCGAUUCGAGCGCAGCGAGAAAGCGUUGCCGCAGGCAACGACCCGAA